Molecule: ribosomal RNA, 449 nt
Filed under: uncultured prokaryote
Description: bacterial SSU rRNA
Rfam family: Bacterial small subunit ribosomal RNA
Source: RNAcentral
UGGGGAAUUUUGCGCAAUGGGCGAAAGCCUGACGCAGCGACGCCGCGUGUGCGAUGGAGGCCCUUGGGUCGUAAAGCACUGUCAACUGGGACGAAAACACCUUUGCGAAUAGCAAGGGUGCUUGACGGUACCAGUAAAGGAAGCACCGGCUAACUCUGUGCCAGCAGCCGCGGUAAUACAGAGGGGGCAAGCGUUGUCCGGACUUACUGGGCGUAAAGCGCACGCAGGUGGUAACGCAAGUGGGGUGUGAAAGCCGCCAGCUCAACUGGCGGAGGCCAUCCCAAACUGCGUCACUUGAGGCCUGUAGAGGUAUGUGGAAUUGCCGGUGUAGUGGUGAAAUGCGUAGAGAUCGGCAGGAACACCCAGGGGGAAGCCAGCAUACUGGACAGGUCCUGACACUCAGGUGCGACAGCGUGGGGAGCGAACCGGAUUAGAUACCCCCGUAGUCC